AGAGUUUGAUCCUGGCUCAGAGCGAACGCUGGCGGCAGGCUUAACACAUGCAAGUCGAGCGGGCACUUUCGGGUGUCAGCGGCAGACGGGUGAGUAACACGUGGGAACGUGCCUUUUGGUUCGGGACAACUCCGGGAAACUGGAGCUAAUACCGGAUAAGCCCUUUGGGGGAAAGAUUUAUCGCCAAAAGAUCGGCCCGCGUCUGAUUAGCUAGUUGGUAGGGUAAUGGCCUACCAAGGCGACGAUCAGUAGCUGGUCUGAGAGGAUGAUCAGCCACACUGGGACUGAGACACGGCCCAGACUCCUACGGGAGGCAGCAGUGGGGAAUAUUGGACAAUGGGCGCAAGCCUGAUCCAGCCAUGCCGCGUGAGUGAUGAAGGCCCUAGGGUUGUAAAGCUCUUUUGUCCGGGAAGAUAAUGACUGUACCGGAAGAAUAAGCCCCGGCUAACUUCGUGCCAGCAGCCGCGGUAAUACGAAGGGGGCUAGCGUUGCUCGGAAUCACUGGGCGUAAAGGGCGCGUAGGCGGAUCUUUAAGUCGGGGGUGAAAGCCCAGGGCUCAACCCUGGAAUUGCCUUCGAUACUGAAGAUCUUGAGACCGGUAGAGGUAAGUGGAACUGCGAGUGUAGAGGUGAAAUUCGUAGAUAUUCGCAAGAACACCAGUGGCGAAGGCGGCUUACUGGACCGGUUCUGACGCUGAGGCGCGAAAGCGUGGGGAGCAAACAGGAUUAGAUACCCUAGUAGUCC
This 744-nucleotide ribosomal RNA is filed under the name uncultured bacterium. RNAcentral describes it as "bacterial SSU rRNA". It matches the Rfam family "Bacterial small subunit ribosomal RNA", at positions 8 to 796 of the family's 1533-position model. The record is from RNAcentral.